RNAcentral lists this ribosomal RNA (454 nucleotides) under Enterobacter cloacae. Its description in RNAcentral is "bacterial SSU rRNA". It matches the Rfam family "Bacterial small subunit ribosomal RNA", at positions 1 to 453 of the family's 1533-position model. Lineage: Bacteria; Pseudomonadati; Pseudomonadota; Gammaproteobacteria; Enterobacterales; Enterobacteriaceae. RNAcentral also lists the same sequence under 3 other names. The record is from RNAcentral.
AAAUUGAAGAGUUUGAUCAUGGCUCAGAUUGAACGCUGGCGGCAGGCCUAACACAUGCAAGUCGAACGGUAGCACAGAGAGCUUGCUCUCGGGUGACGAGUGGCGGACGGGUGAGUAAUGUCUGGGAAACUGCCUGAUGGAGGGGGAUAACUACUGGAAACGGUAGCUAAUACCGCAUAACGUCGCAAGACCAAAGAGGGGGACCUUCGGGCCUCUUGCCAUCAGAUGUGCCCAGAUGGGAUUAGCUAGUAGGUGGGGUAACGGCUCACCUAGGCGACGAUCCCUAGCUGGUCUGAGAGGAUGACCAGCCACACUGGAACUGAGACACGGUCCAGACUCCUACGGGAGGCAGCAGUGGGGAAUAUUGCACAAUGGGCGCAAGCCUGAUGCAGCCAUGCCGCGUGUAUGAAGAAGGCCUUCGGGUUGUAAAGUACUUUCAGCGGGGAGGAAGGUG